UACAGGGGGUGCGAGCGUUAAUCGGAAUUACUGGGCGUAAAGGGCUCGUAGGCGGCCAACUAAGUCGGACGUGAAAUCCCCAGGCUCAACCUGGGAACUGCGUCCGAUACUGGAUGGCUUGAAUUCGGGAGAGGGAUGCAGAAUUCCAGGUGUAGCGGUGAAAUGCGUAGAUAUCUGGAGGAAUACCGGUGGCGAAGGCGGCAUCCUGGACCGACAUUGACGCUGAGGAGCGAAAGCUAGGGGAGCAAACGGG
RNAcentral lists this ribosomal RNA (253 nucleotides) under uncultured bacterium. RNAcentral's name for it is "partial 16S ribosomal RNA". It matches the Rfam family "Bacterial small subunit ribosomal RNA", at positions 524 to 776 of the family's 1533-position model. The record is from RNAcentral.